GAUGAAGAACGUAGCGAAAUGCGAUAAGUAAUGUGAAUUGCAGAAUUCAGUGAAUCAUCGAAUCUUUGAACGCACCUUGCGCUCCUUGGUAUUCCGAAGAGCAUGCCUGUUUGAGUGUCAUUAAUAUAUCAACCUUCUCUUUUUUGAGUUGUUUGGAUGUGGGGGUUUGCUGGCCUCUUAAAUGAUUCAGCUCCCCUGAAAUGCAUUAGCAGAACAACCUGUUCAUUAGCGUGAUAAUUAUCUAUGCUAUUGAAUGUGAGGGCAGUUCAGCUUUCUAACCGUCCUUGGACAAUUCAUCAUUAAUGUGACCUCAAAUCAGGUAGGACUACCCGCUGAACUUAAGCAUAUCAAUAAGCGGAGGA
RNAcentral lists this unclassified non-coding RNA (362 nucleotides) under soil metagenome. Its description in RNAcentral is "partial contains 5.8S ribosomal RNA, internal transcribed spacer 2, and large subunit ribosomal RNA". The stretch from base 1 to 120 matches the Rfam family "5.8S ribosomal RNA", at positions 35 to 154 of the family's 154-position model. The record is from RNAcentral.